This 232-nucleotide ribosomal RNA is filed under the name uncultured bacterium. RNAcentral describes it as "partial 16S ribosomal RNA". It matches the Rfam family "Bacterial small subunit ribosomal RNA", at positions 118 to 350 of the family's 1533-position model. The record is from RNAcentral.
UGGGCAACCUGCCCUCAGCACUGGGAUAACCCCGGGAAAACCGGGGCUAAUACCAGAUAUGACCACGGCGGACAUCCGCUGUGGUGGAAAGCGUUAGUGGCUGAGGAUGGGCCCGCGGCCUAUCAGCUUGUUGGUGGGGUAAUGGCCCACCAAGGCGACGACGGGUAGCCGGCCUGAGAGGGUGACCGGCCACACUGGGACUGAGACACGGCCCAAACUCCUACGGGAGGCA